Molecule: RNase P RNA, 412 nt
Filed under: Chitinophagaceae bacterium
Lineage: Bacteria; Pseudomonadati; Bacteroidota; Chitinophagia; Chitinophagales; Chitinophagaceae
Description: RNase P RNA component class A
Rfam family: Bacterial RNase P class A
About the family: Ribonuclease P (RNase P) is a ubiquitous endoribonuclease, found in archaea, bacteria and eukarya as well as chloroplasts and mitochondria. Its best characterised activity is the generation of mature 5'-ends of tRNAs by cleaving the 5'-leader elements of precursor-tRNAs.
Source: RNAcentral
GCUACCAACCGGGUUAUCGUUUCCGCCAUUGGCGGGAGAGGAAAGUCUGGACAGCACAGAGCAGUGUACCGGUGAAUAGCCGGGCUCCGACUUCUCGGAGACAGAUAGUGCCACAGAAAAUUACUACCUGCAUUCAUUUGUGAAAGCGAAUGAAUUAAUCCGCUCACGCGGAGGGCUAAGGUGAAAAUGUGGGGUAAGAGCCCACGGCUCGAUACGGCGACGUAUCGGGCGGGUAAACCUUGCACGCUGAAAUGCCACGUAUACCAUCUUCAAGGGCUGCUCGUCCAAUGAUUAGCAAUGAUCAGAGAUGGAGGGUGGGCAGAUUGAUUCCGAUAUGUAAAUAACGGAACAGAUAAAUGAUAACCGUCCCGCGUGCGGGAGACAGGAUCCGGCUUACAGGUUGGUAGCUUUU